Molecule: non-coding RNA, 30 nt
Filed under: Mus musculus (house mouse)
Lineage: Eukaryota; Metazoa; Chordata; Mammalia; Rodentia; Muridae
Source: RNAcentral
UAGUCCCUAAUUUCUAUUAUUGACCACAGG